Pan troglodytes (chimpanzee) is the source of this 391-nucleotide long non-coding RNA. RefSeq lists it as uncharacterized. The transcript is spliced from 2 exons. NCBI's taxonomy places the organism in Eukaryota, Metazoa, Chordata, Mammalia, Primates, Hominidae. The record is from RefSeq and is a predicted model, not a curated record.
CCUCUUCUUGCACAGGAUGCUGAAAGAAUUUACUUUUAAUCAUCUUUAUUAUCUCAUUGAAGCUUGGAAUUACAUAGCUGGAAAGGAUCUUACAGGUUGUCACUCUGCCACCCAGGCUGGAGUACAGUGGCACAAUCAUAACUCACUGCCGCCUUGACCUUCCUGCUCAAGUGAUCCUCCCAUCUCAGCCUCCCAAGUAGUUGGAACUACAGAUGACUACCACCACGCCUAGCAAAUUUUUGUAUAUUUUAUAGAGACUAGGGUCUCGCCAUGUUGCCCAGGCUGGUCUCGAACUCCUGGUCUCAAGAGAUCUGCCAGCCUCAGCCUGCCAGAGUGCUGGGAUUACAGGAGUGUGCCACCAUGCCUGGCUUGAAAGAAAUCUUGAGAGAUA